UACGUAGGUGGCAAGCGUUAUCCGGAAUUAUUGGGCGUAAAGAGCGCGCAGGUGGUUGAUUAAGUCUGAUGUGAAAGCCCACGGCUUAACCGUGGAGGGUCAUUGGAAACUGGUCGACUUGAGUGCAGAAGAGGGAAGUGGAAUUCCAUGUGUAGCGGUGAAAUGCGUAGAGAUAUGGAGGAACACCAGUGGCGAAGGCGGCUUCCUGGUCUGUAACUGACGCUGAGGAGCGAAAGCGUGGGGAGGCGACAGGAUUAGAUA
This 261-nucleotide ribosomal RNA is filed under the name uncultured prokaryote. Its description in RNAcentral is "partial 16S ribosomal RNA". It matches the Rfam family "Bacterial small subunit ribosomal RNA", at positions 524 to 784 of the family's 1533-position model. The record is from RNAcentral.